RNAcentral lists this ribosomal RNA (272 nucleotides) under uncultured Pseudomonas sp. Its description in RNAcentral is "partial 16S ribosomal RNA". It matches the Rfam family "Bacterial small subunit ribosomal RNA", at positions 1107 to 1382 of the family's 1533-position model. Lineage: Bacteria; Pseudomonadati; Pseudomonadota; Gammaproteobacteria; Pseudomonadales; Pseudomonadaceae. The record is from RNAcentral.
GUCCUUAGUUACCAGCACGUAUGUGGGCACUCUAAGGAGACUGCCGGUGACAACCGGAGGAAGUGGGGAUGACGUCACGUCAUCAUGGCCCUUACGGCCUGGGCUACACACGUGCUACAAUGGUCGGUACAAAGGGUUGCCAAGCCGCGAGGUGGAGCUAAUCCCAUAAAACCGAUCGUAGUCCGGAUCGCAGUCUGCAACUCGACUGCGUGAAGUCGGAAUCGCUAGUAAUCGUGAAUCAGAAUGUCACGGUGAAUACGUUCCCGGGCCUU